GGGCCAGAGCAAUAACACUUCAGGAUGCUGAAACAGAGGCAACAAUUUUUUUCUCUGUAGUCCCUAGAGUUGAACAGACACAUUUCAAACCUCAUCCAAGUUUAGGACUUUUUGAAAACGUUGGCAUUGCAAGUAAGAGAAUGUGCUUGGAUAAAAAUGUUGCCAUUAAGAAUGGGAGAAGGUGCUUGGAAUCUUAGUCUUGUGCAUUGAAGAAGGAUAAGAAAGAGGAAGAAGUAGAACCAUAAGCUUUCCCACGGACACCCUUCCCUGCUGCUUCCGUCAAAAUCUUGGAGUGUGGGAGUCAGGAGUCACUUCUUGGCAGCUUCUCCCUGGGCUGCCAAAUCUGCCUCUUUCUGAUCAGCCGGAAAUGUGGCUUGCUCCUUCUGGAAAGCUGCCAGUAUUAAUGAAAUCGUGUUUGACUUUUAUGGCUUUGUUCCUUUACUUGAGACUCAAGACAAAUUUGAGGGAAAAAUUUAACCCUAACUGA
Molecule: long non-coding RNA, 487 nt
Filed under: Macaca fascicularis (crab-eating macaque)
Lineage: Eukaryota; Metazoa; Chordata; Mammalia; Primates; Cercopithecidae
Description: lncRNA (ENSMFAG00000060816.1)
Source: RNAcentral